ACGAGGUGUAUCAACAACAUAAGCAAUUACAGUGGGAAAGGUUGAAGCAAAAGCCUCAGUAAUGAUGGCCCCAGAGGCAGACCAUGUGAAUAUCUCGAUCUGACCAGGAGUAUCAACAAGGACAUAAUCAAGCUGAUCUGCUCGCUUUUCGAUCACUGAAAUUACCUCAUCAAAUUUGGUGGCAAACAAGUUAAGUGACGUCAA
RNAcentral lists this unclassified non-coding RNA (204 nucleotides) under Hevea brasiliensis (rubber tree). Lineage: Eukaryota; Viridiplantae; Streptophyta; Magnoliopsida; Malpighiales; Euphorbiaceae. The record is from RNAcentral.